CAGGCAAGGCGGGCUGGGGGCCUCCCAUUACAGGCACAGACAGAUCACCCGGCCUCCCUGAGCUGGUUUCUGGUCCUCGAAUGGUCUCUGCCCCCUCCCUGCUCCUGGGUAGAGCUUCAAACCUCCUGGGAGGAAGGACUUGCCCACUUAUCACCAGAAAGCCUGCUGUUGAUAGAACUUCCAGCACACCGCUGUUCCACCCCUCCCUUUGUCCCUGCCCACCAGGCCAGGAGGCCCUGGACCUCCCGCCAGCAAGCCCUGGGAGUC
Molecule: long non-coding RNA, 267 nt
Organism: Mustela lutreola (European mink)
Lineage: Eukaryota; Metazoa; Chordata; Mammalia; Carnivora; Mustelidae
Exons: 3
Source: RefSeq, a predicted model, not a curated record